UACGGGGGGUGCGAGCGUUGUCCGGAAUCACUGGGCGUAAAGGGCGCGUAGGCGGUCGUGACAAGUCACUUGUGAAAUCUCCGGGCUUAACUCGGAACGGUCAAGUGAUACUGUCGGGCUAGAGUGCAGAAGGGGCAACUGGAAUUCUCGGUGUAGCGGUGAAAUGCGUAGAUAUCGAGAGGAACACCUGCGGCGAAGGCGGGUUGCUGGGCUGACACUGACGCUGAGGCGCGAAAGCCAGGGGAGCGAACGGG
This 254-nucleotide ribosomal RNA is filed under the name uncultured bacterium. RNAcentral describes it as "partial 16S ribosomal RNA". It matches the Rfam family "Bacterial small subunit ribosomal RNA", at positions 524 to 776 of the family's 1533-position model. The record is from RNAcentral.